This 472-nucleotide ribosomal RNA is filed under the name uncultured Anaerolineaceae bacterium. RNAcentral describes it as "bacterial SSU rRNA". It matches the Rfam family "Bacterial small subunit ribosomal RNA", at positions 897 to 1382 of the family's 1533-position model. Lineage: Bacteria; Bacillati; Chloroflexota; Anaerolineae; Anaerolineales; Anaerolineaceae. The record is from RNAcentral.
AAACUCAAAGGAAUUGACGGGGACCCGCACAAGCAGCGGAGCGUGUGGUUUAAUCGUUGCUACACGUAAGAACCUUACCUGGGUUUGACGUAUAGGUUGUAGGGAACUGAAAAGGGACCGACCCUUCGGGGAGCCUAUACAGGUGCUGCAUGGCUGUCGUCAGCUCGUGCCGUGAGAUGUUCGGUUAAGUCCGCUAACGAGCGCAACCCUCGUCGUAUGUUAUAUGUGUCAUACGAGACUGCCGGUAAAAGCCGGAGGAAGGUGAGGAUGAUGUCAAGUCAGCAUGACCUUUAUAUCCAGGGCUACACACACGCUACAAUGGUCUGUACAAUGGGUAGCCAAGCCGCGAGGCGGAGCCAAUCCUCUAAAGCUGUCCUCAGUUCAGAUUGCAGGCUGCAACUCGCCUGCAUGAAGUUGGAGUUGCUAGUAACCGCAGGUCAGCUAUACUGCGGUGAAUACGUUCCCGGGGAUU